AAGCCCUGGAAACGGGGUCUAAUACCGGAUAACACCCUCGCAGGCAUCUGCGAGGGUUAAAAGCUCCGGCGGUGCAGGAUGAGCCCGCGGCCUAUCAGCUUGUUGGUGAGGUAAUGGCUCACCAAGGCGACGACGGGUAGCCGGCCUGAGAGGGCGACCGGCCACACUGGGACUGAGACACGGCCCAGACUCCUACGGGAGGCAGCAGUGGGGAAUAUUGCACAAUGGGCGAAAGCCUGAUGCAGCGACGCCGCGUGAGGGAUGACGGCCUUCGGGUUGUAAACCUCUUUCAGCAGGGAAGAAGCGAAAGUGACGGUACCUGCAGAAGAAGCGCCGGCUAACUACGUGCCAGCAGCCGCGGUAAUACGUAGGGCGCAAGCGUUGUCCGGAAUUAUUGGGCGUAAAGAGCUCGUAGGCGGCUUGUCACGUCGAUUGUGAAAGCCCGAGGCUUAACCUCGGGUCUGCAGUCGAUACGGGCUAGCUAGAGUGUGGUAGGGGAGAUCGGAAUUCCUGGUGUAGCGGUGAAAUGCGCAGAUAUCAGGAGGAACACCGGUGGCGAAGGCGGAUCUCUGGGCCAUUACUGACGCUGAGGAGCGAAAGCGUGGGGAGCGAACAGGAUUAGAUACCCUGGUAGUCCACGCCGUAAACGGUGG
Molecule: ribosomal RNA, 653 nt
Filed under: Actinomycetales bacterium TLI279
Lineage: Bacteria; Bacillati; Actinomycetota; Actinomycetes; Actinomycetales
Description: bacterial SSU rRNA
Rfam family: Bacterial small subunit ribosomal RNA
Source: RNAcentral